AGGAAGUUGGCUCAGGUGAAGUCUUCUUUGGUGUGCCCGCAGUCCUCUAUUUUUGUACCUCUGGAAGGACAGGGAGCAAAAGGCUCGCGGGUUUCCUUACCUACACCAAACAUGUGCUAGGGAUACUCACUGAACACGACAAGUGUGGCACCAUCUUUCAUUUGCUUACCGUCUUGAGAAGAUAAAGGCAAAAGAAAUGGUUGUGCAGUGAGGCCUCUGAGAAAUAAACCUAAGAGAGUAAAGGAAAAGAUUUUUCUUCCCAACAGCCAUAGAUGUUACUGCAAAAUAACUUAAUUUUGGAGUCAGUUACCCAUAGUCCACUGUGGUCUAGAAGCAGAUGAUCUUGCUGAUAUAUCAUCAGAAGGUCGAUGGUAGCCUAAUGCUACAUCACAAUGCCUGUCACUCACUUCACUUCAUUUCAUCAUGUAGCAUUUUAUCAUCUCAUAUCAUCACAUGAAGAAGGUUUCAGUUAUCUGUGAUCAACCACAGUCUGGAAACAGAUGAUCCUCCUUCUGACAAAUGGUCAGCAGGUCAGUAGCAGCCUAACGCUACGUCACGCUGCCUGCAUCAUUCGCCCCACUUCAUCUCGUUUCAUGGGCAUUUUGUCAUCUCACAUCAUCACAAGAAGGGCGAAGCCCAUUAGCAGGUAGCACAAGCUGAAUCCUGAUUUUCUAGCUGCAAAGCACGAUGUGAAGAAUGAUGAAGAUUAGCUCAUUCUUUAGUAGAUGGUGUGAAGUGCAGUUGUGAGGGCUGGAGUUGCUGUAGUCACUUUGUCACCACGAGGAAAACUGGCCCGAAGAAGAAUCUGAUGCACAGGGAAGAACAGAGCCAAGUAGAAGAGAACACUGGAGGUGGAGUCUCGUACAAAGUGCACCUGAAGCAUACUCUCUCUCUCUGAGCCUUUUUGAGCCAC
Neofelis nebulosa (Clouded leopard) is the source of this 913-nucleotide long non-coding RNA. RefSeq lists it as uncharacterized. NCBI's taxonomy places the organism in Eukaryota, Metazoa, Chordata, Mammalia, Carnivora, Felidae. The record is from RefSeq and is a predicted model, not a curated record. The transcript has 7 exons.